AUGGCACAGGCUGGGCUGGGAGCUCUGGGGUCCCAUCCUGUCCCCCCAGAUUCCCUCCUCACCACCUCUGAGCAGCUGCUUUGGGGUCUGAAUUGCUGCCUCCUGCCUUGGUGCUGCAAACCCAGUGCCUGCUUCCCAUGGUGCUCUCCCAGUGCUCCUCACCCUCACCAGUCCUUCACCAGUCCUCCCAGUGCCCUACACCAGUGCCCCUCACCAGUCCUCCCAGUGCCCCACACCAGUGCCCCUCACCAGUCCUCCCAGUGCCCCACACUGGAGAGUCCAGGUAUGAUCCCUGCCAAGCACAGGGCUCCAGUUUGCUUUCCACAUUCCCCCUGGAGCUUCACUGUCUCCUGCAGGCUGCUCAUCCUCCUGAGCCCCAUUCACCCUUCUGGGAAGGGACGAGGACCCCCAGCCCCUCCAGGUGCUGCACGGUGCUCCAGCUGUAACUGGGACAGACCCAGCUCCCAGAAAAGCACAGCCCUGCACCUUCCUCCUCCUCCCCAGGGCUCAUCCCCUCACCCACCACAGCUCUGCCCUGGUUCCUCCCAGCUGCUCCUCCUGGCCUGGCACCCCCAGGUGCUGCCCCAGCCUGGUGUGGGGCAGCUGCAGCACUGUGUCCCCUGCCCCAUCACUCCUCCCUGCACAAGGAGCACAACAGCAGAUGCCUUUUCACACUUUGGGGGCUUUUCCCAGAGGCCAGCUGCCCUGGAGGCUGGUGGUGUCUCUGUGGGGGCUGUGCAGCCCGGCCCUGGCUGGGUUUGGCAGAGCAUGAGGGGGGUGUGUGUGUGUGUGUGUGUGUUUUCUACCUUGGUGUGUUCCUGUAAAUAGUGUAAGUUAUUGUGCUCUCCUGCUGUACGUUUUUCAAUGGCUGUUUGUUUCUUGCCUUUUUGUCUUUGCAAAUAAAAUGUUCUUGACAUGAAGGCA
RNAcentral lists this long non-coding RNA (924 nucleotides) under Junco hyemalis (dark-eyed junco). Its description in RNAcentral is "lncRNA (ENSJHYG00000015918.1)". Lineage: Eukaryota; Metazoa; Chordata; Aves; Passeriformes; Passerellidae. The record is from RNAcentral.